GAUGAAGAACGCAGCGAAAUGCGAUAAGUAAUGUGAAUUGCAGAAUUCAGUGAAUCAUCGAACCUUUGAACGCACAUUGCGCCCGCCAGUAUUCUGGCGGGCAUGCCUGUCCGAGCGUCAUUUCAACCAUCAAGCCCCCGGGCUUGUGUUGGGGACCUGCGGCUGCCCGCAGGCCCUGAAAACCAGUGGCGGGCUCGCUGUCACACCGAGCGUAGUAGCAAUCACCUCGCUCAGGGCGUGCUGCGGGUUCCGGCCGUUAAACAGCCUUACAAAACCCAAGGUUGACCUCGGAUCAGGUAGGAAGACCCGCUGAACUUAAGCAUAUCAAUAAGCGGAGGA
This 339-nucleotide unclassified non-coding RNA is filed under the name soil metagenome. Its description in RNAcentral is "partial contains 5.8S ribosomal RNA, internal transcribed spacer 2, and large subunit ribosomal RNA". The stretch from base 1 to 120 matches the Rfam family "5.8S ribosomal RNA", at positions 35 to 154 of the family's 154-position model. The record is from RNAcentral.